Molecule: ribosomal RNA, 676 nt
Filed under: uncultured bacterium
Lineage: Bacteria
Description: bacterial SSU rRNA
Rfam family: Bacterial small subunit ribosomal RNA
Source: RNAcentral
AGAGUUUGAUUAUGGCUCAGANNNNNNNNNGNCGGCGUGCCUAACACAUGCAAGUCGAGCGAGAAAGGGGCUUCGGCCCUGAGUAAAGCGGCGCACGGGUGAGUAACACGUGGGUAAUCUGCCCUAGAGUGGGGAAUAACACCGGGAAACCGGUGCUAAUACCGCAUACGAUCACGAUGUCUUCGGAUGUUGUGAUGAAAGGAGCAAUUCGCUCUUGGAGGAGCCCGCGGCUGAUUAGCUAGUUGGUGAGGUAACGGCUCACCAAGGCUACGAUCAGUAUCCGGUCUGAGAGGACGGUCGGACACACUGGAACUGAGACACGGUCCAGACUCCUACGGGAGGCAGCAGUGGGGAAUUUUUCGCAAUGGGGGAAACCCUGACGAAGCAACGCCGCGUGGGUGAUGAAGUCUCUUGGGACGUAAAACCCUUUCGACGGGGAAGAAACCGCAAGGUUGACGGUACCCGUAGAAGAAGCCCCGGCUAACUCCGUGCCAGCAGCCGCGGUAAUACGGGGGGGGCAAGCGUUGUUCGGAAUUACUGGGCGUAAAGGGCGCGUAGGCGGUUUGCUAAGUUGAAUGUGAAAACUCUGGGCUUAACCCAGAGCCUGCAUUCAAUACUGGCAGGCUAGAGUUCUGGAGGGGAUAGCGGAAUUCCUGGUGUAGCGGUGAAAUGCGUA